This 388-nucleotide long non-coding RNA is filed under the name Setaria italica (foxtail millet). RNAcentral's name for it is "long non-coding RNA (SITA_LNC001767)". Lineage: Eukaryota; Viridiplantae; Streptophyta; Magnoliopsida; Poales; Poaceae. The record is from RNAcentral.
UGGGUUCAGUGGCAACGGUGAACAGCCUCAUCGCCUGCACCGUGGAGCGCAUCAAGGCCGCGGUCUCAGGCGAGAGCAAUCCCCAGCAGCUUCGUUGAAUCUAAGUGUUCUUAUCCUUGCAUUGGAGGUAUGUGCAACGUUAGAACCUGCAAAAUUUCAUCAUUUGGUUUCUUCUGAAUACUGAUGAUUUUUAUCAGUGAUCCUUUUGCGGGAGCAGCAAAUUUUAGAGCUUUCAUCAGUGGGAAGUCAAUAACGCACCUCAGACUCUCCUUGCCAUGUGGUGUGGUGCUCAUAGUUUGGGUUAUUUUUCACCUAGUUUCCGCAAAAUUUCCGGAAAUUCCAAGAUAUGUUUCAGUUGUCAAAGAAAAUGCGUCACCACUACGCAAGG